RNAcentral lists this long non-coding RNA (319 nucleotides) under Mytilus galloprovincialis (Mediterranean mussel). The record is from RNAcentral. Lineage: Eukaryota; Metazoa; Mollusca; Bivalvia; Mytilida; Mytilidae.
AGAAAAUCUUCCAUAGAUUUGAUUUCUAAUGGUCAUAAUGGUAAAAUAUAAUCCCUUUUGGGUAUAACCAUGGCAACAAUCUGCAUUUCUUAGAUACAAAAUAUAGCAAAAAAGGGGGUUGAACAUGUCACAAAAGUCUCCAAAAUUUGGUCUAAAGAAAAAUUUCAAUCAAUUACAGUGAUACCUUUCCUGAAUCCAUAGGUUUAUAUAUAUCAAGUGGUCCAAAAAAAAAAUCAUAUGCAUUUCUGCUCGUUUUUCCAUAAAAUUGAAUUUGAAAUGCUUAAACCUAUUGAGGAUGUUGACCUAUCUAGCUUUUCUC